Molecule: long non-coding RNA, 1638 nt
Organism: Belonocnema kinseyi
Lineage: Eukaryota; Metazoa; Arthropoda; Insecta; Hymenoptera; Cynipidae
Exons: 4
Source: RefSeq, a predicted model, not a curated record
GCUAGUAAAUAGCAAUUUCGCUUGUAAAGUUUAAAGUAAUUAUGUUUGUUUUGUGGUAAAAUUCAUUACUUGCCGCGUUUAUUUAGAGCUUCGCUUCUGCAUCUGAGCAGUGAAUACGGAAAAUGUUUGCAAUACGUAUCGAGAAUACGUUGCAACAGACUUCUCAUUAAAACUGGAGGUCAAUUGGCGGAGGAGCUAUAUGGGAUGAAGGCGUAACCUCAAGUGUGGAGUAUUGCCAAGCAUGCAACAGUGUCUUGUAUCAUUACAGGAUAAGUCAGUAACGAGUUAUUUCACUAUUUAAGAUCAUUCAUAAUAUUCAAGGACAUGUUUCGUUAUCUGACCCACCUAAGUUGCAUUUGCAAGCAUUGGAAAGGCGCACCGAUUCUAAUGGUAGUGUUCGAGAGCAGCAUGUGAGUUUAACAAAAAUGACUGUGUGUUGCAACAAGCCCCAGAACACCGGUUGGAGUAUGUGUAUGAAAUAGAGUAGUAAAUUAUUCCUAAUACAGACCUCCGAGUCUACAAAAAGCAUUAAAGACAAUCUCAUUUCAUGCGAUAGACCGUCUCAAGAGAGCUUUUGAGUUCAGUUUGUAGUCUAAUUGUGUGCCAAUUACUAGCCUGAAGCGAUAUCUUCCCGGGUUAAGCACGCACGAACAAAUCUUACAACUCGCUCUUUGGAAUUCCUUGAUUUUACAAUUAGCGGACGUUCCCCAUGGACAUGCGCAAGUGGAGAAAAUGGACUUGAAAAAUUCAACCCUCAGUAACCGGCGGAUUGUUUAAAUAGCCAUUAUGUAGUUAAUGCAAUGGUACAUUUACGAAUUAAAGGGUCGAAGGGAAUAACCGCCUUAACGCUUUGAACACGCGGAGAAGGAUUUUACGCGGAGCAAAAUUUGAAAAUUGUUCAGAUUUGACAUAUUGUGCGACUGUUACAUGAAAAAAGUAAUUAUUUCUAAAGUCGGGAGUAAGAGCGAAUCUUCAACAUAUGUGGAAUAACUCUACAAGAGUUCUGUAAACUUUAUAUUGAACUCCGAUUUAAAAAGGUUAAUAAAAUAUAUGGAGAAAUUCAUGAAAAAACGUUGAAAACUUUCGUAGAAAUCACAUUUGAGGUAUUGAGUGUUUGUGAUCACAUAAGUAUAAGGUCUAGAUACCUCAAUUUUGUCAAAUGUAUAGAAAAAGUCUGGAGAACAUUAUGAAAAAUCUCAUAAAAAGUCAAUUCGAGGUACCGAGUGUUUUUUGAAGCACUUCAAUAUAAGAUCUAUAAACCUCAGUUCUAUCAAAUGUAGCUGCAAGUCCCUACUCUGCGAAGGUUCUAUGAAAAACGUCUUUUGUUCUUUUGCGAUAUUUUUCAUAGUUCACGAAAAAACUUCAAAAACUACAUUUUUAGGGGAAAAAAAUUCUCCCGGCCUCAAAAAUGGUUCAUGUAUUUUUUUCAAAUUUUGAAAGUAUGAAAAAACUAUAAUAACCUUUAAAAGAACAUAUUUCGCCCUCGUAGGCUUUUGCGAUUUCAAGUUUAGGGCCCUGCCUAAUUUCAAAUGGAUGCGGUCAGCGAUGAUUGUUAUUCGUACGUUAUUCUCCACAAAACGGAGUUUCAUUAAAGUUUACUUGUAACCACUAUCAAUAAAAUCGCUGAUGAUUAUACAU